Molecule: unclassified non-coding RNA, 413 nt
Filed under: soil metagenome
Description: partial contains 5.8S ribosomal RNA, internal transcribed spacer 2, and large subunit ribosomal RNA
Rfam family: 5.8S ribosomal RNA (bases 1-120)
Source: RNAcentral
GAUGAAGAACGUAGCGAAAUGCGAUAAGUAAUGUUAAUUGCAGAAUUCAGUGAAUCAUCGAAUCUUUGAACGCACCUUGCGCUCUUUUGUAUUCCGAAGAGCAUGCCUGUUUGAGUGUCAUGAAAAUAUCAACCUUGACUUGGGUUUUGUGCUCUAGUCUCGGCUUGGAAUUGGGUGCUUGCCGCUUUUACGAGCGGCUCACCUUAAAUGUAUUAGCUGGAUCUGUCUUUGAGACUUGGUUUGACUUGGCGUAAUAAGUAUUUCGCUAAGGACAUUCUUCGGAGUGGCCUCGUUUCUAGGACGCUUGUCCGCUUUCCAAUACAAGUUCCACCUCGUGGACAUGACUUUUUAUUAUCUGGCCUCAAAUCAGGUAGGACUACCCGCUGAACUUAAGCAUAUCAAUAAGCGGAGGA